RNAcentral lists this ribosomal RNA (374 nucleotides) under uncultured organism. Its description in RNAcentral is "bacterial SSU rRNA". It matches the Rfam family "Bacterial small subunit ribosomal RNA", at positions 526 to 896 of the family's 1533-position model. The record is from RNAcentral.
CGUAGGUGGCGAGGCGUUGUCCGGAAUUACUGGGUGUAAAGGGCGUGUAGGCGGGGAGAUAAGUCAGAUGUGAAAUUCCAGGGCUCGAACCCUGGCGCUGCAUCUGAAACUAUUUCUCUUGAGUGCUGGAGAGGAAAGCGGAAUUCCUAGUGUAGCGGUGAAACGCGUAGAUAUUAGGAGGAACACCAGUGGCGAAGGCGGCUUUCUGGACAGUAACUGACGCUGAGGCGCGAAAGCGUGGGGAGCAAACAGGAUUAGAUACCCUGGUAGUCCACGCUGUAAACGAUGGAUACUAGGUGUAGGAGGUAUCGACCCCUUCUGUGCCGCAGUUAACACAAUAAGUAUCCCACCUGGGGAGUACGGCCGCAAGGUUG